This 248-nucleotide ribosomal RNA is filed under the name uncultured bacterium. Its description in RNAcentral is "partial 16S ribosomal RNA". It matches the Rfam family "Bacterial small subunit ribosomal RNA", at positions 15 to 254 of the family's 1533-position model. The record is from RNAcentral.
GAUCCUGGCUCAGGAUGAACGCUAGCUACAGGCUUAACACAUGCAAGUCGAGGGGCAGCGGGAUUGAAGCUUGCUUCAAUUGCCGGCGACCGGCGCACGGGUGAGUAACGCGUAUCCAACCUUCCGCUUACUCGGGGAUAGCCUUUCGAAAGAAAGAUUAAUACCCGAUGGUAUCUUAAGCACGCAUGAGAUUAAGAUUAAAGAUUUAUCGGUAAGCGAUGGGGAUGCGUUCCAUUAGGCAGUUGGGG